This 736-nucleotide ribosomal RNA is filed under the name Latilica maculipes. Its description in RNAcentral is "eukaryotic LSU rRNA". It matches the Rfam family "Eukaryotic large subunit ribosomal RNA", at positions 1295 to 1870 of the family's 3401-position model. The record is from RNAcentral. Lineage: Eukaryota; Metazoa; Arthropoda; Insecta; Hemiptera; Issidae.
UGCCGAAGCAACUAGCCCUGAAAAUGGAUGGCGCUCUAGCGUCGUGCCUAUACCGGGCCGUCAACGGCAAAGUGGGCUGGUGCCAGGCCGGUUAACGCCGGCCUGCUCGGCCGUUAAGCCUUGACGAGUAGGAGGCGCGCGGCGGUGUGCGCAGAAGGGUCUGGGCGUGAGCCUGCCUGGAGCCGCCGUCGGUGCAGAUCUUGGUGGUAGUAGCAAAUACUCUAGCGAGGGCCUGGAGGGCUGAUGUGGAGAAGGGUUUCUUGUGAACAGCCGUUGCACAAGAGUCAGUCGACCCUAAGCCCUAGGAGAAAUCCGAUGUUGAUGGGCAGCGAUCACUCGGCCGGGUUCGGUGUCGGUCGCGGUGCGCUCUUUAAACGGCGCGCGCUCGCCGCCCCACCAAGGCCUACCGACUGCUCCCGUCGGGCGAAAGGGAAUCCGGUUCCUAUUCCGGAACCCGGCUGCGGAACCGUCACUUCGCGGGCACUCGCCUGCGAGCGCUCGUCGGGGUAACCCAAAAUGACCCGGAGACGCCGGCGGGAGGUCUGGAAAGAGUUGUCUUUUCUUUAUAAGCGUUCGAGUUCCCUGGAAUCCUAUAGCAGGGAGAUAGGGUUUGGAACGCGAAGAGCACCGCAGUUGCGGCGGUGUCCGGACCUUCCCCCCGGACCUUGAAAAUCCGGGUGAGGGCUACGCGGAAAUGUCGCGCCGGCUCGUACCCAUAUCCGCAGCAGGUCUCCAA